Molecule: ribosomal RNA, 1522 nt
Filed under: Ligilactobacillus salivarius
Lineage: Bacteria; Bacillati; Bacillota; Bacilli; Lactobacillales; Lactobacillaceae
Description: partial 23S ribosomal RNA
Rfam family: Bacterial large subunit ribosomal RNA
Source: RNAcentral
UUAGGUUAAGUUAUUAAGGGCGUAUGGUGGAUGCCUUGGCACUAGGAGCCGAUGAAGGACGUGACUAACUGCGAUAUGCUUCGGGGAGUUGUAAGUAAACUAUGAUCCGGAGAUUUCCGAAUGGGGAAACCUAACAGGUUUUACCGCCUGUUAUCACUAAGUGAAUUCAUAGCUUAGUUGAAGGUAGACGUGGGGAACUGAAACAUCUAAGUACCCACAGGAAGAGAAAGAAAUUCGAUUCCCUCAGUAGCGGCGAGCGAACCGGGAAGAGCCCAAACUAAGAAGCUUGCUUCUUAGGGUUGUAGGACUGAACAUCUGAGUUACCAAGAAAUGAAGUAGUUGAAUAAUCUGGGAAGAUUAGCCAAAGAGAGUGAUAGCCUCGUAAGCGAAACUUUGUUUCCUCAGUUCAGGAUCCUGAGUACGGCGGAACACGUGAAACUCCGUCGGAAUCCGGGAGGACCAUCUCCCAAGGCUAAAUACUACCUAGUGACCGAUAGUGAACCAGUACCGUGAGGGAAAGGUGAAAAGCACCCCGGGAGGGGAGUGAAAUAGUUCCUGAAACCAUAUGCCUACAAGUAGUCAGAGCUCGUUAAUGAGUGAUGGCGUGCCUUUUGUAGAAUGAACCGGCGAGUUACGUUAGCGUGCGAGGUUAAGGAGGAAAGUCCGGAGCCGUAGCGAAAGCGAGUCUGAAUAGGGCGAGAUAGUACGUUGACGUAGACCCGAAACCAGGUGACCUACCCAUGUCCAGGUUGAAGGUGCGGUAAAACGCACUGGAGGACCGAACCCGUGUAUGUUGAAAAAUGCUGGGAUGAGGUGUGGGUAGAGGUGAAAUUCCAAACGAACUUGGAGAUAGCUGGUUCUCUCCGAAAUAGCUUUAGGGCUAGCCUCGGAGUUAAGAAUCGUGGAGGUAGAGCACUGUUUGGACUAGGGGCCCGUCUUGGGUUACUGAAUUCAGAUAAACUCCGAAUGCCACAGAUUUAUAUCCGGGAGUCAGACUGCGAGUGAUAAGAUCCGUAGUCGAAAGGGAAACAGCCCAGACCACCGAUUAAGGUCCCAAAAUAUGUGUUAAGUGGAAAAGGAUGUGGAAUUGCAUAGACAACUAGGAUGUUGGCUUAGAAGCAGCCACCAUUUAAAGAGUGCGUAAUAGCUCACUAGUCGAGUGAUCCUGCGCCGAAAAUGUAACGGGGCUAAACACAUUACCGAAAUCGUGGAUGUACCUUAGGGUACAUGGUAGGAGAGCGUUCUAAGGACGGCGAAGCUAGACCGUAAGGACUGGUGGAGUGCUUAGAAGUGAGAAUGCCGGUAUGAGUAGCGAAAGAUCAGUGAGAAUCUGGUCCACCGUAUGACUAAGGUUUCCUGGGGAAGGCUCGUCCUCCCAGGGUUAGUCGGGACCUAAGCCGAGGCCGAGAGGCGUAGGCGAUGGAUAACAGGUUGAGAUUCCUGUACUGGUUAAACUUGUUUGAACAAUGGAGGGACGCAGGAGGCUAUCGAUGCGUACUGUUGGAUAUGUACGUUCAAGCAA